Molecule: ribosomal RNA, 365 nt
Filed under: uncultured bacterium
Lineage: Bacteria
Description: bacterial SSU rRNA
Rfam family: Bacterial small subunit ribosomal RNA
Source: RNAcentral
CCUACGGGAGGCAGCAGUGGGGAAUAUUGGACAAUGGGGGAAACCCUGAUCCAGCAAUGCCGCGUGAGUGAUGAAGGCCUUAGGGUCGUAAAGCUCUUUUACCAGGGAUGAUAAUGACAGUACCUGGAGAAUAAGCUCCGGCUAACUCCGUGCCAGCAGCCGCGGUAAUACGGAGGGAGCUAGCGUUGUUCGGAAUUACUGGGCGUAAAGCGUGCGUAGGCGGUUAUUCAAGUCAGAGGUGAAAGCCCGGGGCUCAACCCCGGGAACGGCCUUUGAAACUAGAUAACUAGAAUCUUGGAGAGGUCAGUGGAAUUCCGAGUGUAGAGGUGAAAUUCGUAGAUAUUCGGAAGAACACCAGUGGNGAG